GCAGACCCAGUUUUAUUGAUACCUUGAACUUAAAGUGGUUUUAUGCAUAUCAGCCCAGAUUAUGUGUGUAAUUUUAUUGAACAAUUCAACAAUACACGUUCUUAACAGGUUAAAUUUAAUUUAAAAAUUUACAAAUUCAGAUCUACUGGCAUUCAACACCCAAUUACUUACUUGCUGUAUAUUGCUAACUUUGAUUGUAUAUUGUCAAUCCCUCCACAUCGUGAAUACGCCAUGCGAGGUGUUGGAUAAGUUUGAUACAGGGUGGCGGCUUCGAAGCGUAGAAAAAAAUCCAGGUAAACGAAAGUGUAAAAUUUUGUUGUUGAAAAUUUUAAGUACUAAAUUCCUAAAUUUGUACUUAACUCCGUUCUACGGGUAACAUGGUUGUUUGAUAUGAAAAUAGGAUAAAAAGCAUCCGGAAAAAUUAAUUAUCACGUUAUAAGUAUUCGUAAAUGGAUAUGAAAAAACUUAACAAGGAAUAAGUAUUGGUAAACGGACAGAAAGUCGCAGGACAAAGGGCAAGAACAUUAAAGAUAAAGGGAAACUAUAAACAAAAGAAAUUAUCAACAAAAAUAGAUUUACAGACAUCAACAAAGCCUAAAUGGUCAGACAUCUUGGUUUUCAUGAUCAUCAUUCAACAGGUCAAUACUGAACAGCAAACUUAAAGUUGAUAUUUUUCUACAUAGUGUGACUUUUUUAUUAAUUUGAAAUGGAAUGUGUUUUUUUUCCUACAUAAGAAAGAGGAAAUUUCAACAUAAUGACUAUAAACAAAAAGGAGUCAUAUCAUCAUGAUCAUAGAUGCUCAAGAACUUAAUCAUGUAAAUGCAACAACGUAAUUAUCAAUUGAAAGAAGGGAGGAAUGAAAAAAUAUAUUAGUAUUUUGUUGUCCAAAUGAACUUGCUUUGUCCGCUCAUUUAAAUCGCUCCAUCCAAUAAAGAUGUACUGAGGAAGAUUUUUGAAGAACAGAUUGCAAAAAUGUUUUGUCUAAGAAUUGUAGGAAUAUUCUAGCGAAUGAAAUAAUUUAUUUACUUGACUCUUAUAUAGUGGACUGAAUAAUUGUUCAUAGCAAGCUGAAACAAGAAAACUAAAACUUAACAGGAAAAGUGUUUAUUUUAUAAAUAUUCAAAUAUAAAUGUAAUAUUAUGAACACCACAAAGGAAUAAGAUUCAAAUCGUUUGCAUAUUCAUGUAUUGCAAUGGAACUAUAACAAAGAAAACUUUACCUCAUGAAAAGAGUAAACUAUUAACUGUGCUUUGUCAAUUUAUUCAGUCAGAAUAUGAAAUAUUUUUUUCAGUUCUAUUUUUCAUAA
Molecule: long non-coding RNA, 1306 nt
Organism: Mytilus californianus (California mussel)
Lineage: Eukaryota; Metazoa; Mollusca; Bivalvia; Mytilida; Mytilidae
Exons: 3
Source: RefSeq, a predicted model, not a curated record